CCAGGCUUGAACUGCAGGUGACAUUCUACGAAAGUAGACUUCCGCAAGGACGCCUGUAGAGGUGCUGCAUGGCUGUCGUCAGCUCGUGUCGUGAGAUGUUGGGUUAAGUCCCGCAACGAGCGCAACCCUUGUCUUCUGUUGCCAUCAGGUUAAGCUGGGCACUCUGAAGAGACUGCCGGUGACAAACCGGAGGAAGGUGGGGAUGACGUCAAGUCAGCAUGGCCUUUAUGUCUGGGGCCACACACGUGCUACAAUGGCCGGUACAAACCGUUGCAAACUCGCGAGGGUGAGCUAAUCGGAGAAAGCCGGUCUCACUUCGGAUUGUAGGCUGCAACUCGCCUGCAUGAAGUUGGAAUCGCUAGUAAUCGCGGAUCAGCACGCCGCGGUGAAUACGUUCCC
This 399-nucleotide ribosomal RNA is filed under the name uncultured soil bacterium. RNAcentral describes it as "bacterial SSU rRNA". It matches the Rfam family "Bacterial small subunit ribosomal RNA", at positions 975 to 1375 of the family's 1533-position model. The record is from RNAcentral.